AAGGCACUCCAUCCAUCCGGAAAUACUUGUCCCGAAAAUGGUUGUAUUUAGACUUAUUUUAGUUAUAGAUACAUUCAUUUUAACCAUUUCUAGGACAAGCAUUUCCGGAUGGAGGGAAUAUUUA
Molecule: non-coding RNA, 124 nt
Organism: Triticum aestivum (bread wheat)
Lineage: Eukaryota; Viridiplantae; Streptophyta; Magnoliopsida; Poales; Poaceae
Source: Rfam